UACAGAGGUCCCGAGCGUUGUUCGGAUUCAUUGGGCGUAAAGGGUGCGUAGGCGGUUUUCUAAGUUUGAUGUGAAAUCCCGGGGCUCAACCUUGGAAUUGCAUUGAAUACUGGGAGACUAGAGUACUGGAGAGGAAACUGGAAUUUACGGUGUAGCAGUGAAAUGCGUAGAGAUCGUAAGGAAGACCAGUGGCGAAGGCGAGUUUCUGGACAGUUACUGACGCUGAGGCACGAAGGCCAGGGGAGCAAACGGG
This 253-nucleotide ribosomal RNA is filed under the name uncultured bacterium. RNAcentral describes it as "partial 16S ribosomal RNA". It matches the Rfam family "Bacterial small subunit ribosomal RNA", at positions 524 to 776 of the family's 1533-position model. The record is from RNAcentral.